CGACCCUCUUCCGAUCUGGAUAAAAUGAUUUCUUUCACCUUACAAUCCCAAAUAAUUCGCUUAGGAGUCAGUACAUAAAGAUUUAAUUUCAUUUCUGCGAUUUGUUCUCCUCUUCUAAGGUUAUAGCUUUCGUGCUAGCUUCAUCGAUGUUACCCACCAAAUAAAAAGCCUGUUCAGGUAGGCCGUCUAAUUCUCCGGAAAGGAUUAGUUGAAAUCCCCUAAUAGUUUCCGCAAGA
Long non-coding RNA from Triticum aestivum (bread wheat), 236 nucleotides. RefSeq lists it as uncharacterized. NCBI's taxonomy places the organism in Eukaryota, Viridiplantae, Streptophyta, Magnoliopsida, Poales, Poaceae. The record is from RefSeq and is a predicted model, not a curated record. The transcript has 3 exons.